GGAGAGAUGGCUCAGUGGUUAAGAGCACUGACUGCUCUUCCAGAGGUCCUGAGUUCAAAUCCCAGCAAACCA
Molecule: transfer RNA, 72 nt
Filed under: Mus musculus (house mouse)
Lineage: Eukaryota; Metazoa; Chordata; Mammalia; Rodentia; Muridae
Description: tRNA-Ser
Source: RNAcentral